Molecule: ribosomal RNA, 231 nt
Filed under: uncultured Alicycliphilus sp.
Lineage: Bacteria; Pseudomonadati; Pseudomonadota; Betaproteobacteria; Burkholderiales; Comamonadaceae
Description: partial 16S ribosomal RNA
Rfam family: Bacterial small subunit ribosomal RNA
Source: RNAcentral
AGAUCAUCACUGGGCUUAAAGCGUGCGCAGGCGGUUUUGUAAGACAGAGGUGAAAUCCCCGGGCUCAACCUGGGAACUGCCUUUGUGACUGCAAGGCUGGAGUGCGGCAGAGGGGGAUGGAAUUCCGCGUGUAGCAGUGAAAUGCGUAGAUAUGCGGAGGAACACCGAUGGCGAAGGCAAUCCCCCUGGGCCUGCACUGACGCUCAUGCACGAAAGCGUGGGGAGCAAACA